This is a non-coding RNA of Pelobates cultripes (western spadefoot toad), 220 nucleotides long. NCBI's taxonomy places the organism in Eukaryota, Metazoa, Chordata, Amphibia, Anura, Pelobatidae. The record is from the annotation of a GenBank genome assembly.
GCAGUUGUUAGUACCUACUAAAAGUGUUGCCAAGAAGAGCAACUGGUUAACCUGUGACAGUCAUGGGUGCCCAAGGCUCAUUGAUGCACGUCGGGUACAAAGGCUAGCCUAUAUCAUCCAAUCACACAGAAGAGCUACUGUAGCUCAAGUUGCUGAAAAAUAUCCUAAAGGUGUCAGAACACAGUGCAUCUCAGUUUGCUGCAUAUGGGGCUGCGUAGAG